GACGAACGCUGGCGGCGUGCCUAAUACAUGCAAGUCGAGCGAAGUUUUUCUGGUGCUUGCCCUAGGAACACUUAGCGGCGAACGGGUGAGUAACACGUAAAGAACCUGCCUCAUAGACUGGGACAACUAUUGGAAACGAUAGCUAAUACCGGAUAACAGUAUUUCUCGCAUGAGAGAUAUUUAAAAGUUGGUUAUGCUAACACUAUGAGAUGGCUUUGCGGUGCAUUAGCUAGUUGGUGGGGUAAAGGCCCACCAAGGCGACGAUGCAUAGCCGACCUGAGAGGGUGAUCGGCCACACUGGGACUGAGACACGGCCCAGACUCCUACGGGAGGCAGCAGUAGGGAAUCUUCCGCAAUGGGCGAAAGCCUGACGGAGCAACGCCGCGUGAGUGAAGAAGGAUUUCGGUUCGUAAAGCUCUGUUGUUAGGGAAGAAUGGAUAUGUAGUAACUAUACAUGUAAGAGACGGUACCUAACCAGAAAGCCACGGCUAACUACGUG
Molecule: ribosomal RNA, 499 nt
Filed under: uncultured bacterium
Lineage: Bacteria
Description: partial 16S ribosomal RNA
Rfam family: Bacterial small subunit ribosomal RNA
Source: RNAcentral